AAGAGAAUCAUCCACUACACUGGAGAUGAAACAUAGAGAAAUUUGCUCAGGAAAGACUAUAGAUUGGAGUAAGAAGCUGAGAAGAGCCUUGACUCUAGACAACCUCAGAGUCCAAUCAAUUCAGCUAAAAAUCAAAGCCAUGAGCUCAAGCACCACAGAAUCCAUUUCAGAAGCUCAGACUCCACUAACCUCAGGGAUGAAGCUUCAGACUCUGAACUACAUUGUCACAGUUGAUCUAGGAGGGAGAAACAUGACUUUGAUCGUCGACACUGGAAGUGACUUGACAUGGGUCCAAUGCCAGCCUUGCAAGUCAUGUUACAACCAACAAGGUCCUUUGUAUGACCCAUCAGUCUCAUCUUCUUACAAGACAGUGUUCUGCAACUCAUCAACUUGUCAGGAUCUUGUAGAAGCAACAGGCAAUUCAGGCCUCUGUGGAGGUAACAAUGGUGUUGAUAAGACGACUUGUGACUACGUUGUCAGCUAUGGGGAUGGAUCAUACACUCGUGGAGACUUGGGAAGUGAAAGUAUCCAACUCGGCGACACAAAUGUUGAAAGCUUUGUAUUUGGUUGUGGCCGAAGCAACAAAGGUUUGUUUGGUGGAGCUUCUGGUCUAAUGGGUUUGGGAAGAAGCUCAGUCUCUUUAGUCUCCCAAACCAUGAAAAGUUUCAACGGUGUUUUCUCAUACUGUCUACCUUCUCUUGAAGAUGGAGCUUCAGGCUCACUAUCCUUCGGUGAUGAUUACAAGAACUCAACCUCAGUUUCAUACACUCCUUUAGUGCAAAACCCUCAGCUUAGUUCCUUUUACGUUCUGAACCUCACCGGAGCUAGCAUUGGUGGCGUGGAGCUGGAGUCUUCAAGCUUUGGUAGAGGGAUUCUAAUCGAUUCAGGAACGGUCAUCACUAGGUUGCCGCCUUCCAUUUACAAAGCUGUGAAGAGAGAGUUUCUAAAACAGUUCUCUGGGUUUCCUUCAGCUCCAAGCUAUUCAAUCUUAGACACUUGUUUUAACCUCACAAGUUAUGAAGACGUCAGCAUACCAACUAUCAAAAUGAUCUUCCAAGGUAACGCUGAGCUUGAAGUGGAUGUCACUGGUGUGUUCUACUUUGUCAAGCCUGAUGCAUCUCUAGUCUGCUUGGCCUUGGCAAGCCUUUCAUAUGAAAACGAAGUCGGUAUUAUUGGAAACUACCAACAGAAAAACCAGAGAGUGAUAUAUGAUACCAAACAAGAGAAGCUUGGGAUAGCAGGAGAAAACUGCAGUUUCUGAUGUCUAUCCAAUGACUUGUAUAAUAAGCUUUGUGUGUUCCCCCCCUCAUAUCAUGAAAGCCAAUCAUCUUUUUUGGUAAAGUCUUUGAAACAAAAAAUUAUAAAGUAGAAAAAUAAUCAAAUAAAGAAAGAUCAUUUUAUAUUAAGAGUAAUAAAACAAAUCCCACUAUAUAAAAGGGACUAAUUGAGAAAGAUAUGUGUAGAUACUGUAUCUUUGCUUUAGUUUAGUAUUUAAUUGCGUGAUUUAAGGGUUAGAUUAGCAAAAGCCUCAACAUUUGUAAACAUUUUAAUUAAAGUCAUUACCUUUACAUUACUUUUCUUAGCUCCCUUUCUUUCAAUUGGGAUUAGUAAUAGUACUAUAGUUGUUUUUCUAAAGCUUUACACAUGUAUUUAUAGAAUCUUAAGAUUCUUUCCUCCAUAAGAGAACACUCAUCUAACAUAAAUGUUUGUAUCUUUUGCUUGUAAACUCUGUUUCUAAUCAUCUGUUUUUGAUAUCCCCUUGUUGACUCUUUAUUUUUGUUUAAAAAACUUAGGCAAAGGAAGAGAAUCAUCCACUACACUGGAGAUGAAACAUAGAGAAAUUUGCUCAGGAAAGACUAUAGAUUGGGGUAAGAAGCUGAGAAGAGCCUUGACUCUAGACAACCUCAGAGUCCAAUCAAUUCAGCUAAAAAUCAAAGCCAUGAGCUCAAGCACCACAGAAUCCAUUUCAGAAGCUCAGACUCCACUAACCUCAGGGAUGAAGCUUCAGACUCUGAACUACAUUGUCACAGUUGAUCUAGGAGGGAGAAACAUGACUUUGAUCGUCGACACUGGAAGUGACUUGACAUGGGUCCAAUGCCAGCCUUGCAAGUCAUGUUACAACCAACAAG
Molecule: long non-coding RNA, 2129 nt
Filed under: Brassica napus (rape)
Lineage: Eukaryota; Viridiplantae; Streptophyta; Magnoliopsida; Brassicales; Brassicaceae
Description: long non-coding RNA (BNAP_LNC006159)
Source: RNAcentral